GACGAACGCUGGCGGCGUGCUUAACACAUGCAAGUCGAACGGAAAGGCCCUGCUUUUGGGGUGUGCUCGAGUGGCGAGCGGGUGAGUAACACGUGAGUAACCUGCCCUUGACUUUGGUAUGACUUCAGGAAAGUGGGUCAUAUACCGGAUAGGAGCUCCUGCUGCAUGGUGGGGGGUGGGAAGUUUCGGCGGUUGGGGAUGGACUCGCGGCUUAUCAGCUUGUUGGUGGGGUAGUGGCUUACCAAGGCUUUGACGGGUAGCCGGCCUGAGAGGGUGACCGGCCACAUUGGGACUGAGAUACGGCCCAGACUCCUACGGGAGGCAGCAGUGGGGAAUAUUGCACAAUGGGCGGAAGCCUGAUGCAGCAACGCCGCGUGCGGGAUGACGGCCUUCGGGUUGUAAACCGCUUUCGCCUGUGACGAAGCGUGAGUGACGGUAAUGGGUAAAGAAGCACCGGCUAACUACGUG
RNAcentral lists this ribosomal RNA (468 nucleotides) under uncultured bacterium. RNAcentral describes it as "partial 16S ribosomal RNA". It matches the Rfam family "Bacterial small subunit ribosomal RNA", at positions 28 to 507 of the family's 1533-position model. The record is from RNAcentral.